This 673-nucleotide unclassified non-coding RNA is filed under the name Hevea brasiliensis (rubber tree). The record is from RNAcentral. Lineage: Eukaryota; Viridiplantae; Streptophyta; Magnoliopsida; Malpighiales; Euphorbiaceae.
UGUCCACCACCACCUUAUUACCCUAAAGAAACUUGUCCAAUUGAUACACUUAAAUUAGGUGUUUGUGCUGAUGUUCUUGGAUUAGUAAAUGUUGUUGUUGGCUCACCACCAGUAACUCCUUGUUGUACUCUUCUAUCUGGACUUGCUAAUGCUGAAGCUGCUCUUUGUCUUUGUACUGCUCUUAAGGCUAAUAUUUUGGGAAUUAACCUUAAUCUCCCUAUUUCACUUAGUUUGCUUCUUAAUGUUUGCUCUAAAGAAGCUCCUGCUGGCUUUCAAUGCUCUUAAUUAAAUUAAUUUUGUCAAGAUUUAAUUAAGUUUGUCAUUUGAGGUUGAGGGGUGUGAAAGACAUUAUAUUAAUUUACUUUGAGAUGGGUGGCUUGGUUUAAUUUGAAGAUUAUAUUAUUGUAAUAUCUAAGAUAUUAUGUUGAUAUGUGUCAUGUUCAAGUUUAUGUUGUAUGAUUAUUAUUGUUACUUAUAUGUUAUAUAAAAGUUUACUUUGAGUUUGAGAGUUUAAUUUUCAUUAAGAGUGUGAGAAAUGAAUGAGACAGAUUUUUCUUAUCGUUAAUCAGAGAUUUUGAGUUCAAAUGUCAAAGUAAAAAAAAAAUUCAUAGCAAGGAUUACUUUUACUUAAUAUUAUGUCUUGCACGAUAUACAUUUAAAUUAAUCGGAAUAA